CUUCAAUUUUUCCUGUUCAUCCUGGUUCAUUUGCCCUUGGUAAGCUUGGUCAAAACUAGAAUACUGCAUGUAGGCCUCAUGGUAGUUCCAGCAGUGUCAAGAUCCUGGGAGAAACCAGUAGGAAAAAUCCAAAAUACGUCCCCCACCCAUACAUAGAAUUCUUUAACUUCAAGUACAGAAAAGCAGGUAAUUAAUCAAUGACAAACAAGAAUACAAAUGAGUGCUCGAGGUACUGAUCUUGGAAUAGUUGGAAUCAAGAAACUAGCAAAAGCCCCCAUCAAUUUUUCUGGUAGGCCGAAUACAAACAUGAUAAAUGUGGUAAAUGAUUCCCAUAUUGAUGAGCGUAAUGUGAUUGAGAUUGGCAACUAAGCAUGAUAUACUUGUAUAUACGCCCGAAGCCAUAGACUAACAAAAUAGCAGAAAAAACUUCUCUAUCAAUAGAAUGGAUUGGUUGUUUUCUUUUUCCCUUAACUAGAAAGUUGAACAAGCAUAUUCAUAUUGUUUGAGGCUUAUAACAUUACUGAAAGUGAAAAGGAAUAUAAGAACUUGCUGAAUGGUUGGGUUGCUUAGCAUGACAUUUUGGAUAUGAAAAAACAAUCAAUUGGACAACUUAUAAAAGGCCAUAGCUCAAAUGGUAUGACAAGUUUGUAUCAGUAGGAGGUAACACAAUGCAAUCUCUUGAUAUAGAAGGAACAAAUGAUUCUACAAGUAAGAAUUUGUGUGUCAGUGUACACAGCUAAAUUUAAUCAAACCUGAAUUUACAUAUCUCAAACCAAUAAAUGAAGUAAACUACACACAUGCAUACAAAAAUAUAAACUCAACUCAAUGUCCCAAGAAAUGGAGCCUGCAAAACAGAAAAGUGGGAAGAAAAUCACAUUCAGAGGAUGGAUUAAACAGAGGCAGACAAUUUUACAAGAAGAAAAGCAUAACCAAAACUAAAGUCCAAAUGACCACAAGUCAGGAAAUAUACAGGGUGGUGAAUCCUAAGUUAAACUUUGAACUUACUUCUUUUGAUGGAACAUUCAUAUAUGGAAUGUCAGCCUCUUCACAUAAGAUAGGAACAUGAGUAAUGACAUCUAUUGGCAAAAUAUUUCCUGCUAUUAUGCAUAACCUAUCAAGAAGUCCAAUACUUCAGAGCCUAGCAUCUUUAAAGCUACACUACACAUAUCUCACAUUUCCUAGCCAAAUAAAAGCUAUAAAACUAACAAGACAGGAAAAUUAACAAAGAUUAGCCGCGAUUGCAGGUAAAGCAAAAGGCAGACUUUUUGUUUUACCCUUUAUUCCCAGCAUAAGCUGCUGCUGACCAAUUACCUGAACCAACAAGAUAAUGUAAAAAUCACUUUAAAUCGCACUUUUUACAGCGUAAUGCAUUUUCAAUUUCUUUUUCAAAGAUAUGGAUGCCUGCUAAUGGGAGAUACAUCCUGAUAUUUCAGAUCAAGUAUCUUUCCUGGGUAAUCACAUCAAAAGUCUCAUUAAUCAGAAUUACAUGAGAGUUAGAAAGAAGUGUAGUUCUCGUAAUGAAAAUUAUCUCUUGUUUACAGUACACUGAAAUCUGGAAGUUUUGAGUGACCGGCAAUACUGUUCCAAUCACUGGCCUACGUCUCUCUCCCUUCUCUGCGCCUCCUCCCAAAAUCUGUAGUGGAUAGCUCUAAGACUUCAGACGGC
Molecule: unclassified non-coding RNA, 1665 nt
Filed under: Hevea brasiliensis (rubber tree)
Lineage: Eukaryota; Viridiplantae; Streptophyta; Magnoliopsida; Malpighiales; Euphorbiaceae
Source: RNAcentral